AGUGAACGCUGGCGGUAGGCCUAACACAUGCAAGUCGAACGGCAGCACAGUAAGAGCUUGCUCUUACGGGUGGCGAGUGGCGGACGGGUGAGGAAUACGUCGGAAUCUACUUUUUCGUGGGGGAUAACGUAGGGAAACUUACGCUAAUACCGCAUACGACCUACGGGUGAAAGCAGGGGAUCUUCGGACCUUGCGCGAUUGAAUGAGCCGAUGUCGGAUUAGCUAGUUGGCGGGGUAAAGGCCCACCAAGGCGACGAUCCGUAGCUGGUCUGAGAGGAUGAUCAGCCACACUGGAACUGAGACACGGUCCAGACUCCUACGGGAGGCAGCAGUGGGGAAUAUUGGACAAUGGGCGCAAGCCUGAUCCAGCCAUACCGCGUGGGUGAAGAAGGCCUUCGGGUUGUAAAGCCCUUUUGUUGGGAAAGAAAAACAGCAGGUUAAUACCCCGCUGUUCUGACGGUACCCAAAGAAUAAGCACCGGCUAACUUCAUG
RNAcentral lists this ribosomal RNA (492 nucleotides) under uncultured bacterium. RNAcentral's name for it is "partial 16S ribosomal RNA". It matches the Rfam family "Bacterial small subunit ribosomal RNA", at positions 29 to 507 of the family's 1533-position model. The record is from RNAcentral.